CAGCAGCACGCAGUGGAUGUGAAUGAUACAUUCCUCUAUGAAUAAACCGAGUAAGACGUACGUUUUCAAUGCAAUAAUGAAACAAAACAAGUCACAACAUACAGCCAGAGUGAAACGGCUACACGUAACGCCUGGAGAAAGUAGUACCAGAACAGCAGUGUUAGCAAACGUUACAGUCUCAUCACACUGCCUUUCACACCCAACUUGGAUCUCUGCUAUAAAAGAAAAGACCGAUGGACUGGUGAACCCCCCCAUGUGACUGAAGAAAAGACCGAUGGACUGGUGAACCCCCUAUGGCUG
Oncorhynchus tshawytscha (Chinook salmon) is the source of this 300-nucleotide long non-coding RNA. RefSeq lists it as uncharacterized. The transcript has 3 exons. The record is from RefSeq and is a predicted model, not a curated record. Lineage: Eukaryota; Metazoa; Chordata; Actinopteri; Salmoniformes; Salmonidae.